AGCUUCACAUAGUUUGCCGAAAAAAUCUAUGAGUGUUGGAGAAUGCUGUAAUUGUUUAACUUGAAUCAGCAAAGCUAAACUUAACCAUGAAAAUAUGAGAAAUUUAAGAGAUAAACAUUCCUAAACUCAUUUUUGAUGAUCAAUUUUUUACGUUAUUCUGUUUGCUUCACUUGGAUUUUGAUGCGAAAGAUUUUUUCUGUAUGGCAUGCUCUAAAAUUCGUGAAAAGCGAAAAAAAAUAAAACGUAAUAAAAUGGAUUGGAGCUUGUGAAUUCAAGUGUAUUGUAUAUUUGAAACAGGAUUGGAUAACGAUUUCUCGGCAAAACUCAUAUCUGACAAUCCAAAGAAUUCAAUGCCAAUGUGAUAAACAAUUUGUUAAAAGUUAAGGACAUUAGUGUUCAGGUAAAUAUGAUGAAAAAUAGGAAUAAAGAUGUGGAUGUACAAAUAUUGAUCCUCAAUGCAUAAGUGCAUACAAGUGUCACUCAUAGAAAAAAUUGAACAAACGUCAAAGCUUUAUUAUGUGAGGAUUGAUUCACAACAACUCAUUUUUAAACUUUUUAUAUUACGGGCGCGUGAAAAGCCUGGCUCAC
Molecule: non-coding RNA, 588 nt
Organism: Schizosaccharomyces pombe (fission yeast)
Lineage: Eukaryota; Fungi; Ascomycota; Schizosaccharomycetes; Schizosaccharomycetales; Schizosaccharomycetaceae
Source: the annotation of a GenBank genome assembly